UCAGUUACUAAAUGUUCUCGUUUAUUUUAUUUUAUGUAGUAUUUUAUUUUGAGAAAGUGCUAAACUAAAAUUUCACGAAAUUGAAAACUUCUAUCCCGCCGGCUACUAAUCUCCCAUACCCUCAUUAGCUGCUACAUAUUCCAUUAGUUCCUCAACCUAAAUCCCAAUAACCACCGUUUGUUGCUCUGCUGCGAAUUUCCUUUUAAAUCUUCCCAAAAAGAAAAAACCCUAAUUAUUUGCUUCCAGUUAGCAAAUUAUCUUCUCAACUAACCCACAUAAUUCUUUGUCAUCUCUAAUCAUUUUUCUAUAUAUGUGAGGCAUAUAUAUACGAUGUGAAUUUCAGAUUGAAUAAGUACUACCCUUCAAAAAUUGCUAAAAGCUAUUCUCUUAAUUAGGCUUCGGGGUUUUUAAUUCAUUGUUGUGACUCUAGGAUCCACCGUUUAUCUAGUUUGUUGGAGAAAAUUGAUCAAGUUCAAGCCCAAAAAUUCUUAAAAAAGGCCAAACUUGAUAAUGAAUGGGUGCAGUGUGACAAAAGUAGGAAGAGGAGAAUAAAUAAUUCAUGCUGUGAAUCUACCUAAAGAGGAAUUUUAAUUUACCAAAAGUUUGACAUCUAUUUUUCCCUUUUGUAAUUAGCAGGAAAGUGAUGAUUUUAUUUGAUACUUUGUGCUCUAUAUCAGAUGUUGGAUGGUUUUGGAUGCAGGGUUCAAUAUAAUUUCAAGCUUAUUCUACAAGCACCUUCAAAAGGGUGAAUGACUUAUGAUGAGAGGAUGAUUUCUACAAGCAUUUCUCAUAUUGUUCUGUUUUAUAAAUCAUAAUAAUGUUAUAUUUUGUUUAGUUCAAAUCACCUCUUAUCACUCUGUUUCUUUUAGGAUGACAUAUGUGUCCUUUGUAGUUGAAAGUUGGUAACAUAUUUGUAAUCGACAAGUACAUCAUUUUCUAUAUUUUAUAAUUGAUGAUGUUGAUCGAUGUCGAUUAAAUUGGA
Long non-coding RNA from Chenopodium quinoa (quinoa), 982 nucleotides. RefSeq lists it as uncharacterized. Lineage: Eukaryota; Viridiplantae; Streptophyta; Magnoliopsida; Caryophyllales; Amaranthaceae. The record is from RefSeq and is a predicted model, not a curated record. The transcript is spliced from 4 exons.